Molecule: ribosomal RNA, 760 nt
Filed under: uncultured bacterium
Lineage: Bacteria
Description: bacterial SSU rRNA
Rfam family: Bacterial small subunit ribosomal RNA
Source: RNAcentral
AGAGUUUGAUUCUGGCUCAGAGCGAACGUUAGCGGCAGGCUUAACACAUGCAAGUCGAGCGAGAAAGGGGCUUCGGCCCUGAGUAAAGCGGCGGACGGGUGCGUAACACGUGGAUAAUCUGCCCUUCAGUGGGAAUAACAUUCCGAAAGGAAUGCUAAUGCCGCAUGUCACAGCGCUUUCUCCGGAUCGCGCUGGAAAAGGGGACGCCCGCAAGGGGUUCUCGCUGGAGGAUGAGUCCGCGGCCCAUCAGCUUGUUGGCGGGGUAAUGGCCCACCAAGGCGAAGACGGGUAGCUGGUCUGAGAGGAUGACCAGCCACACUGGGACUGAGACACGGCCCAGACUCCUACGGGAGGCAGCAGUGGGGAAUAUUGGACAAUGGGCGAAAGCCUGAUCCAGCCAUGCCGCGUGAGUGAUGAAGGUCUUCGGAUCGUAAAGCUCUGUGGGAAGGGACGAAAAAUGCCGACCUAAUACGUCGGAACUUGACGGUACCUUCUUAGCAAGCACCGGCUAACUCCGUGCCAGCAGCCGCGGUAAUACGGAGGGUGCAAACGUUGCUCGGAAUCAUUGGGCGUAAAGCGCACGUAGGCGGUUCGGUAAGUCGGAUGUGAAAUCCCUCGGCUCAACCGAGGAAGUGCAUCCGAAACUGCCGAGCUUGAGUACGGAAGAGGGUCUCGGAAUUCCCGGUGUAGAGGUGAAAUUCGUAGAUAUCGGGAGGAACACCAGUGGCGNNNNCGGAGACCUGGGCCGAUACUGACGCUG